AUCUGCACUAGGUGGUCAUUUCCACUUUCCACCAAACCAUAUUAACUUUCCAUGAGAAUGUAUAAUAAUUAACCAUAGCUGACUAAUCUAUAAGCACAUUUCAUGCAGUUAUUAGUCAGGUGUACACACCACAAACUGAUAAGUUUUUUCCUUCAUUUUGCUCCCACAACAACAACAAGAACAUACCCAGUGAAAUCCCAAAAAGUGGGUCUGGAUAA
Molecule: unclassified non-coding RNA, 218 nt
Filed under: Hevea brasiliensis (rubber tree)
Lineage: Eukaryota; Viridiplantae; Streptophyta; Magnoliopsida; Malpighiales; Euphorbiaceae
Source: RNAcentral